This 62-nucleotide transfer RNA is filed under the name Cavia porcellus (domestic guinea pig). It matches the Rfam family "tRNA", at positions 1 to 62 of the family's 71-position model. From Rfam's summary of the family: Transfer RNA (tRNA) molecules are approximately 80 nucleotides in length. Their secondary structure includes four short double-helical elements and three loops (D, anti-codon, and T loops). The record is from Rfam by way of RNAcentral. Lineage: Eukaryota; Metazoa; Chordata; Mammalia; Rodentia; Caviidae.
GGGGGUUUAGCUCAGUGGUAUAAGCACCUGCCUUGCAAGCAGGUGGGUGAGUUCGAUUCCCA